This 497-nucleotide ribosomal RNA is filed under the name uncultured bacterium. Its description in RNAcentral is "partial 16S ribosomal RNA". It matches the Rfam family "Bacterial small subunit ribosomal RNA", at positions 28 to 507 of the family's 1533-position model. The record is from RNAcentral.
GAUGAACGCUGGCGGCGUGCCUAAUACAUGCAAGUCGAGCGAACAGACGAGGAACUUGCACAUCUGACGUUAGCGGCGAACGGGUGAGUAACACGUGGAUAACCUACCUAUAAGACUGGGAUAACUUCGGGAAACCGGAGCUAAUACCGGAUAAUAUAUUGAACCGCAUGGUUCAAUAGUGAAAGACGGUUUUGCUGUCACUUAUAGAUGGAUCCGCGCCGCAUUAGCUAGUUGGUAAGGUAACGGCUUACCAAGGCGAAGAUGGGUAGCCGACCUGAGAGGGUGAGCAGCAACACUGGAACUGAGACUGGGUCCAGACUCCGACGGCAGCCAGCAGCAGCGAUUAGGCAGAAUGGGCCGAGAGCGUGACGGAGCAACAGCGAUGGCGCGUGGAAGAUGAUCGGAUCGUAAAACGUUGUCAUUAGGGAAGAACAAAUGUGUCAGUUACUAUGCACGUAUUGACGGUACCUUAUCAGAAAGCCACGGCUAACUACGUG